RNAcentral lists this ribosomal RNA (253 nucleotides) under uncultured bacterium. RNAcentral's name for it is "partial 16S ribosomal RNA". It matches the Rfam family "Bacterial small subunit ribosomal RNA", at positions 524 to 776 of the family's 1533-position model. The record is from RNAcentral.
UACAGAGGUCUCAAGCGUUGUUCGGAUUCAUUGGGCGUAAAGGGUGCGUAGGUGGUGGGGUAAGUCGGAUGUGAAAUCCCGGGGCUCAACCCCGGAACUGCAUUCGAUACUGCCUUGCUCGAGUACUGGAGAGGAGACUGGAAUUUACGGUGUAGCGGUGAAAUGCGUAGAUAUCGUAAGGAAGACCAGUGGCGAAGGCGGGUCUCUGGACAGUUCCUGACGCUGAGGCACGAAGGCCAGGGGAGCAAACGGG